RNAcentral lists this transfer-messenger RNA (384 nucleotides) under Anaeroplasmataceae bacterium. It matches the Rfam family "transfer-messenger RNA". From Rfam's summary of the family: Bacterial tmRNA, also known as 10Sa RNA or SsrA, is named for its dual tRNA and mRNA-like properties. Its role is to liberate the mRNA from a stalled ribosome. To accomplish this part of the tmRNA is used as a reading frame that ends in a translation stop signal. Lineage: Bacteria; Bacillati; Mycoplasmatota; Mollicutes; Anaeroplasmatales; Anaeroplasmataceae. The record is from RNAcentral.
GGGGGCGUUUUAGGAUUCGCCGUGGUAAGAUAAGCCAUAUAAGCACGUAGCAGUAGUCUGCUUUAAAAACGUCGAGGUUAAAUAACCGCAAACAAAACUCAUUUAUUUGCACGCUCUAACACUAUGAGCGCUGCAUACGCUUGCUAAUCUAAUUCAAGCGGCUUUUCUAAUAUGUUUCCUAUAGCACAUUAGUAAAAGCGUCAACUAUAUAGGAUAUAUAGAUGUAGUGCUACUCUAACUAGAUUUAUGAAUAUGAAUAGAGUGUAGCUAGGUUUUGGCUUGUUUAUUUGCUUAGACCUAGUGAAGGUUUCAAAUAAACUAAACGUGUAGAAAGUAUGGUAGACAUUGCUGCGUACGGGAGUUCGAGUCUCCCCGCCUCCACCA